UAAGUGCGCGCAUGUAUAUGCG
This 22-nucleotide microRNA is filed under the name Mus musculus (house mouse). RNAcentral describes it as "mmu-miR-467d-5p". Its record names the gene mmu-miR-467d-5p. The record is from miRBase by way of RNAcentral. Lineage: Eukaryota; Metazoa; Chordata; Mammalia; Rodentia; Muridae.